GGUCCCUUAGUCUAGUGGUAAGAUGUAUGCUUAGGGAGCGUAAGGUCCCGAGUUCAAUUCUCGGAAUCCCCA
This 72-nucleotide transfer RNA is filed under the name Dichanthelium oligosanthes. It matches the Rfam family "tRNA". From Rfam's summary of the family: Transfer RNA (tRNA) molecules are approximately 80 nucleotides in length. Lineage: Eukaryota; Viridiplantae; Streptophyta; Magnoliopsida; Poales; Poaceae. The record is from Rfam by way of RNAcentral.